AGGUAAGCUACUAAGAGCGAAUGGUGGAUGCCUUGACUGGUAAAGGCGAUGAAGGACGUACUAGACUGCGAUAAGCUACGGGGAGCUGUCAAGAAGCUUUGAUCCGUAGAUUUCCGAAUGGGGCAACCCAAUGUAUAGAGAUAUACAUUACCUAUAUAGGAGCGAACGAGGGGAAUUGAAACAUCUUAGUACCCUCAGGAAAAGAAAUCAAUAGAGAUUGCGUCAGUAGCGGCGAGCGAAAGCGCAAGAGGGCAAACCCAGUGCUUGCACUGGGGGUUGUAGGACUGCAAUGUGCAAGAGGUAAGUUUAGCAGAACAUUCUGGAAAGUAUAGCCAUAGAGGGUGAUAGUCCCGUAUGCGAAAAACAAACCUUAGCUAGCAGUAUCCUGAGUAGGGCGGGACACGAGGAAUCCUGUCUGAAUCCGGGUCGACCACGAUCCAACCCUAAAUACUAAUACCAGAUCGAUAGUGCACAAGUACCGUGAGGGAAAGGUGAAAAGAACUGAGGUGAUCAGAGUGAAAUAGAACCUGAAACCAUUUGCUUACAAUCAUUCAGAGCCCUAUGUAGCAAUACAGGGUGAUGGACUGCCUUUUGCAUAAUGAGCCUGCGAGUUGUGGUGUCUGGCAAGGUUAAGCAAACGCGAAGCCGUAGCGAAAGCGAGUCUGAAUAGGGCGCUUAGUCAGAUGCUGCAGACCCGAAACGAAGUGAUCUAUCCAUGAGCAAGUUGAAGCUAGUGUAAGAACUAGUGGAGGACUGAACCCAUAGGCGUUGAAAAGCCCCGGGAUGACUUGUGGAUAGGGGUGAAAGGCCAAUCAAACUUCGUGAUAGCUGGUUCUCUCCGAAAUAUAUUUAGGUAUAGCGUUGUGUCGUAAUAUAAGGGGGUAGAGCACUGAAUGGGCUAGGGCAUACACCAAUGUACCAAACCCUAUCAAACUCCGAAUACCUUAUAUGUAAUCACAGCAGUCAGGCGGCGAGUGAUAAAAUCCGUCGUCAAGAGGGAAACAACCCAGACUACCAGCUAAGGUCCCUAAGUCUUACUUAAGUGGAAAACGAUGUGAAGUUACUUAAACAACCAGGAGGUUGGCUUAGAAGCAGCCAUCCUUUAAAGAAAGCGUAAUAGCUCACUGGUCUAGUGAUUUUGCGCGGAAAAUAUAACGGGGCUAAAGUAAGUACCGAAGCUGUAGACUUAGUUUACUAAGUGGUAGGAGAGCGUUCUAUUUGCGUCGAAGGUAUACCGGUAAGGAGUGCUGGAGCGAAUAGAAGUGAGCAUGCAGGCAUGAGUAGCGAUAAUUAAUGUGAGAAUCAUUAACGCCGUAAACCCAAGGUUUCCUACGCGAUGCUCGUCAUCGUAGGGUUAGUCGGGUCCUAAGUCGAGUCCGAAAGGGGUAGACGAUGGCAAAUUGGUUAAUAUUCCAAUACCAACAUUAGUGUGCGAUGGAAGGACGCUUAGGGCUAAGGGGGCUAGCGGAUGGAAGUGCUAGUCUAAGGUCGUAGGAGGUUAUACAGGCAAAUCCGUAUAACAAUACUCCGAGAACUGAAAGGCUUUUUGAAGUCUUCGGAUGGAUAGAAGAACCCCUGAUGCCGUCGAGCCAAGAAAAGUUUCUAAGUUUAGCUAAUGUUGCCCGUACCGUAAACCGACACAGGUGGGUGGGAUGAGUAUUCUAAGGCGCGUGGAAGAACUCUCUUUAAGGAACUCUGCAAAAUAGCACCGUAUCUUCGGUAUAAGGUGUGGUUAGCUUCGUACUAGGAUUUACUCCGAAAGCGAAGAAACUUACAACAAAGAGUC
Molecule: ribosomal RNA, 1786 nt
Filed under: Campylobacter jejuni
Lineage: Bacteria; Pseudomonadati; Campylobacterota; Epsilonproteobacteria; Campylobacterales; Campylobacteraceae
Description: partial 23S ribosomal RNA
Rfam family: Bacterial large subunit ribosomal RNA
Source: RNAcentral